CCUACGGGUGGCAGCAGUGGGGAAUAUUGGACAAUGGGGGGAACCCUGAUCCAGCGACGCCGCGUGAGGGAAGAAGUAUUUCGGUAUGUAAAGCUCUAUCAGCAGGGAAGAUAAUGACGGUACCUGACUCAGAAGCUCCGGCUAAAUACGUGCCAGCAGCCGCGGUAAGACGUAUGGAUCAAGCGUUAUCCGGAUUUACUGGGUGUUAAGGGAGCGCAGACGGUGGGGCAAGUCUGAUGUGAAAUCCCGGGGCUCAACCCCGGGACUGCAUUGGAAACUGUCCGUCUAGAGGGCAGGAGAGGUAAGAGGAAUUCCUAGUGUAGCGGUGAAAUGCGUAGAUAUUAGGAGGAACACCAGUGGCGAAGGCGGCUUACUGGACUGUAACUGACGUUGAGGAGCGAAAGCGUGGGGAGCAAACAGGAUUAGAUACCCGAGUAGUC
This 440-nucleotide ribosomal RNA is filed under the name uncultured bacterium. Its description in RNAcentral is "partial 16S ribosomal RNA". It matches the Rfam family "Bacterial small subunit ribosomal RNA", at positions 338 to 795 of the family's 1533-position model. The record is from RNAcentral.